CAAGUGUUUGUUUGUAAAUGCCCACACAGGAGCUGGCUGUGAACCCGGAAAGCAUGGUCUUUGCCCUCAAAGAGCUUGAGAACAGCUAGGAUGCUGAGUGAACUGUUCUGGACCUGGUCAGUUUGAUGCUGGAGUGUUUGGAACAAACCAGGUGGCAGCCGGAGGAUGGUGGUGUGGCCAGCAGCCCCACAGGAUGCACAUGGGAGAGAAGUCAGCUGUAUGGAGCACUCCACAUAGCAAGAAACUGAGGACUGCCAUCAACAGCCAGCACCAACUAGCCAGACAUGUGGGUAAGACACCUUGGAAGUAGCUCCUCUAGCCCCACUCAAGCCUUCAGAUGAUGUAGCCUUGGCUGACACCCUGGUUGCAGCCUCGUGGGAGACCCCAAGCUAGGACCACCCAGCUCAGCCCCUCCUGAAUUCCUGACCCACAGAAACUGUAUGAGAUGAUAACUAUUCAUUGUUGCUUUGAACAACUAAGUUUUGGGGUGAUUUGUUACACAGCAGA
Lutra lutra (Eurasian river otter) is the source of this 507-nucleotide long non-coding RNA. RefSeq lists it as uncharacterized. The transcript has 3 exons. Lineage: Eukaryota; Metazoa; Chordata; Mammalia; Carnivora; Mustelidae. The record is from RefSeq and is a predicted model, not a curated record.